Molecule: ribosomal RNA, 347 nt
Filed under: uncultured fungus
Lineage: Eukaryota; Fungi
Description: SSU rRNA
Rfam family: Eukaryotic small subunit ribosomal RNA
Source: RNAcentral
GUAGUCAUAUGCUUGUCUCAAAGAUUAAGCCAUGCAUGUCUAAGUAUAAGCAAUCUAUACAGCGAAACUGCGAAUGGCUCAUUAAAUCAGUUAUCGUUUAUUUGAUAGUACCUUUACUACUUGGAUAACCGUGGUAAUUCUAGAGCUAAUACAUGCUAAAAAUCCCGACCUCUGGAAGGGAUGUAUUUAUUAGAUAAAAAACCAAUGCCUUCGGGCUCCUUGGUGAUUCAUGAUAACUUAACGAAUCGCAUGGCCUUGCGCCGGCGAUGGCUCAUUCAAAUUUCUGCCCUAUCAACUUUCGAUGGGAGGAUAGUGGCCUACCAUGGUUUCAACGGGUAACGGGGAAU